AGGACGAACGCUGGCGGCGUGCCUCAUACAUGCAAGUGGAGCGACGAACCAGGAUUUAUCCUGGGGCAAAGCCGCGAACGGGUGAGUAACACGUGGGUUACCUGCCCCGAUGAUUGGGACAACCCGAGGAAACUCGGGCUAAUACCAAAUGUGUUCUUGGUCGUGAUGACCAAGAAGAAAGGAAGCCUCGGCCUCCGCAUCGGGAUGGGCCCGCGGCCCAUUAGCUAGUUGGUGGGGUAAUGGCCUACCAAGGCGACGAUGGGUAGCUGGUCUGAGAGGACGAUCAGCCACACUGGGACUGAGACACGGCCCAGACUCCUACGGGAGGCAGCAGUAGGGAAUCUUGCGCAAUGCGCGAAAGCGUGACGCAGCAACGCCGCGUGGGGGAAGAAGGCUCUCGGGUUGUAAAGCCCUUUCGACGGGGACGAUGAUGACGGUACCCGUAGAAGAAGCCCGGCUAACUCGUGCCAGCAGCCGC
RNAcentral lists this ribosomal RNA (478 nucleotides) under uncultured bacterium. RNAcentral describes it as "SSU rRNA". It matches the Rfam family "Bacterial small subunit ribosomal RNA", at positions 26 to 518 of the family's 1533-position model. The record is from RNAcentral.